RNAcentral lists this microRNA (24 nucleotides) under Mus musculus (house mouse). Its description in RNAcentral is "mmu-miR-344d-1-5p". Its record names the gene mmu-miR-344d-1-5p. Lineage: Eukaryota; Metazoa; Chordata; Mammalia; Rodentia; Muridae. The record is from miRBase by way of RNAcentral.
AGUCAGGCUGCUGGCUAUACACCA